This 497-nucleotide ribosomal RNA is filed under the name uncultured bacterium. RNAcentral's name for it is "partial 16S ribosomal RNA". It matches the Rfam family "Bacterial small subunit ribosomal RNA", at positions 28 to 507 of the family's 1533-position model. The record is from RNAcentral.
GAUGAACGCUGGCGGCGUGCCUAAUACAUGCAAGUCGAGCGAACGGACUAGAAGCUUGCUUCUCUGAUGUUAGCGGCGGACGGGUGAGUAACACGUGGAUAACCUACCUAUAAGACUGGGAUAACUUCGGGAAACCGGAGCUAAUACCGGAUAAUAUUUUGAACCGCAUGGUUCAAAAGUGAAAGACGGUCUUGCUGUCACUUAUAGAUGGAUCCGCGCUGCAUUAGCUAGUUGGUAAGGUAACGGCUUACCAAGGCAACGAUGCAUAGCCGACCUGAGAGGGUGAUAGGCCACACUGGAACUGAGACACGGUCCAGACGCCUACGGGAGGCAGCAGUAGGGAAUCUUCCGCAAUGGGCGAAAGCCUGACGGAGCAACGCCGCGUGAGUGAUGAAGGUCUUCGGAUCGUAAAACUCUGUUAUUAGGGAAGAACAUAUGUGUAAGUAACUGUGCACAUCUUGACGGUACCUAAUCAGAAAGCCACGGCUAACUACGUG